Molecule: ribosomal RNA, 1815 nt
Filed under: Triticum aestivum (bread wheat)
Lineage: Eukaryota; Viridiplantae; Streptophyta; Magnoliopsida; Poales; Poaceae
Description: partial small subunit ribosomal RNA
Source: RNAcentral
AUGAUUAAGGGAGACCAGAGGCAGCUCGGCGGCCAUGAAGAACAGCUAAAAGAUCAGAUGACAGAUGAUCAUCAGGCCUCAGAUGGCAAUUUUUUCAAGUUCUUGCAAAACCAGUCAAGCAUAAAAAAAGAGGCUCAAGAAGACAAGAUUGCGUCCACAAGGGCAGAGAUGGGCGAAGUGAGUAAAGAGAACGAGAGGCUGAAGAUGAUGCUAUCACGGAUGGUGGAGGACCAUCGCUCGCUUCAGAAGCAAUUCGACGUUCUCCACCAGCAAGGGCAAGGCAAGAACCUUGCCGUUGGCUCACCGGAGCAUACAUCACCGGUCGACGGCCCCGGGUUCGUCUCUUUGCGCCUUGGAACGAGCGCCGGCAUGAGCAGGCAGAACAUGGAAGAACAGAUCAAGGGCAGCACUAAUAAUCCAGAUGACAAGGGCAUCUUUCUUGGACUUUCAUCAGCCUGCGGAGCUGUCGGUGCAAGAACUGAUGGAAUUGAGACGAAGGUGCAACCGGACGUGGUGACAUUGAGCCCUGGAGGCAGCUCCGAGGAGGACGCCGCCACAGAGACAACCACAAUAUCGGCGGCGAGCAAGGCAGCAAAGAUCCCGAGGAGCACUGGAGGAGUGGAGGCCGAUGAGGAGGUGGCCCAGCAGCCACUGGCCAAGAAGGCCAGGGUGUCGGUGAGGGCAAGGUGUGACACACCAACGAUGAACGAUGGGUGCCAGUGGAGGAAGUACGGGCAGAAGAUAUCCAAGGGCAACCCAUGCCCGCGUGCCUACUACCGCUGCACUGUCGCAACAGGGUGCCCCGUCAGGAAGCAGGUGCAGAGAUGCGCGGAGGACAUGUCGAUCCUGAUCACCACCUACGAGGGUGCGCACAACCACCCACUCUCCGCCUCCGCAACCGCCAUGGCCUCCACCACCUCCGCUGCCGCGUCCAUGCUCAUGUCAGGCUCCUCCACCUCGUUUGGCUUUCCCUCUGCCACUGCCGCCACCAGCCUCCAUGGCCUCAGGUUCGGCCUCCCAGCAACGGCCAUGGACACCUCCUCCAACCAGCUGGGCGGCCGACCGUUCUUCCUCCCGACCGCCGCGGGCACGUCCAUCAGCGCUACCCCGUCAUACCCCACCAUCACCCUCGACCUCACCUCGCAGGCCGCCUCGCAACACGCCUUCUCCCUGAGCAAUUGCAACAAGUUCUCUUCCAGCUUCACCGGCUCUCAUGGCCACAACAGUAGCACUAGUAGGUACCCUUCCACGAGCUUCUCCUUCUCUAGCUUCGACGCGAGCAGCCUACCUGGCUCCACCACAUGGCCAUCAGGUGUUGGAUCAUACCUGGGCUACGGAUCCUCAUCCGGCGCGUCCUACAACGGCCCCAACAAGGGCACAUUCGAAGCUGCACUGAGCAGCAUCCAUGGAAGGCAACAAGGCUCGGUGGCAUCGCUCUACCAGCCGGUGCAUGUGCAACAGAGGGUGGCUGAGUUGAGAAGUGGUGGCACGGGCAUGGCGGCGCCGACUGUGCUCACUGAUACGAUCGCCAAGGCGAUUACGUCGAACCCGGGCUUCCACACAGCGCUCACAGCUGCCAUCACAUCAUACGUCGGCAAGUCGGCAGCAGGAGGCGGGAAGGGGCUCGAGUGGGGGGACCACCUCGGGCUUGGGCCGUCGAGUGCGGCGACUGCGGUGUGCUCGUCAGCGCUUCUGGCACGGUCGUCUUCAACGGCAGCCGCACAGAACGGUUCUCCAAAUGGCAAGAUGAGGUUGGAGCCGUCACUGGCGCUGUCAAGCUCCACAAGUGCUACUGCUUCGACGUCUCGGGUGUGA